Molecule: ribosomal RNA, 483 nt
Filed under: Triticum aestivum (bread wheat)
Lineage: Eukaryota; Viridiplantae; Streptophyta; Magnoliopsida; Poales; Poaceae
Description: partial small subunit ribosomal RNA
Source: RNAcentral
AUGCAUGGGUUUAGAAGAGAAGGGAAACUAAAGGAAUCAUGUGAUGCCGUUGCCCAGAUGUUGCAGAAGGGCUUCUUUCCCACCACUGUGGAGAUUAACUUACUGAUACAUGCGUUAUGUAAGGAAGGAAAGCCGGCAGAGGCCAAAGACUUCAUGGAGCAGUGCCAAAGCAAAGGUUGUACCAUUAAUGUUAUCAACUUUACUACUGCAAUUCAUGGAUUUUCUCGGCAGGAGGAUUUGGAAUCAGCGUUGUCUUUGUUGGAUGACUUGUAUCUCAGCAACAGGCAUCCAGAUGUUGUAACUUAUACUGUUGUUGUCAAUGCUUUGGGAAAGAAAGGUCGGCUGAAAGAAGCGACGGAGCUUGUGAAGAAAAUGCUUAAUAGAGGAAUUGUCCCUACACUUGUUACAUACAGGACAGUGAUACAUAGAUACUGGAGAAGGGUAAAGUGGAAGAAUUACUCGAUCUACUGGAUAAGAUGUUAG